Molecule: ribosomal RNA, 276 nt
Filed under: uncultured prokaryote
Description: partial 16S ribosomal RNA
Rfam family: Bacterial small subunit ribosomal RNA
Source: RNAcentral
UACGUAGGGGGCUAGCGUUAUCCGGAAUUACUGGGCGUAAAGGGUGCGUAGGCGGUCUUUCAAGCCAGAAGUGAAAGGCUACGGCUCAACCGUAGUAAGCUUUUGGAACUGUAAGACUUGAGUGCAGGAGAGGAGAGUGGAAUUCCUAGUGUAGCGGUGAAAUGCGUAGAUAUUAGGAGGAACACCAGUUGCGAAGGCGGCUCUCUGGACUGUAACUGACGCUGAGGCACGAAAGCGUGGGGAGCAAACAGGAUUAGAUACCCGCGUAGUCCCUGA